GCAUAUCAAUAAAGCGGAAGAACCCUUUCUUUUUUC
This 36-nucleotide ribosomal RNA is filed under the name Chaetomium globosum. Its description in RNAcentral is "partial 28S ribosomal RNA". Lineage: Eukaryota; Fungi; Ascomycota; Sordariomycetes; Sordariales; Chaetomiaceae. The record is from RNAcentral.